UGACCAAUUAGAAAAUGUGCUCUGGCACAUUUUCCUUUCUGUGUGGGACUGAGAACCACGGGGGACACCCAACCUCCUGUUCUUCAUUCUUUCUAUCCAAUUUUUAUGAUGGAUUUGGUGCGACG
Non-coding RNA from Caenorhabditis elegans, 125 nucleotides. The record is from Ensembl. NCBI's taxonomy places the organism in Eukaryota, Metazoa, Nematoda, Chromadorea, Rhabditida, Rhabditidae.